UACGAGGGGGGCAAAUGUUGUUCGGAAUCACUGGGCGUAAAGGGCGCGUAGGCGGCUGUUCAAGUCGGGGGUGAAAGCCUGUGGCUCAACCACAGAAUUGCCUUCGAUACUGGACGGCUCGAGACCGGAAGAGGUCAGUGGAACUGCGAGUGUAGAGGUGAAAUUCGUAGAUAUUCGCAAGAACACCAGUGGCGAAGGCGGCUGACUGGUCCGGUUCUGACGCUGAGGCGCGAAAGCGUGGGGAGCAAACAGG
This 253-nucleotide ribosomal RNA is filed under the name uncultured bacterium. Its description in RNAcentral is "partial 16S ribosomal RNA". It matches the Rfam family "Bacterial small subunit ribosomal RNA", at positions 524 to 776 of the family's 1533-position model. The record is from RNAcentral.